This 929-nucleotide ribosomal RNA is filed under the name Salmonella enterica subsp. enterica serovar Typhimurium. RNAcentral's name for it is "partial 23S ribosomal RNA". It matches the Rfam family "Bacterial large subunit ribosomal RNA", at positions 773 to 1616 of the family's 2925-position model. The record is from RNAcentral. Lineage: Bacteria; Pseudomonadati; Pseudomonadota; Gammaproteobacteria; Enterobacterales; Enterobacteriaceae.
ACCGAACCGACUAAUGUUGAAAAAUUAGCGGAUGAUCUGUGGCUGGGGGUGAAAGGCCAAUCAAACCGGGAGAUAGCUGGUUCUCCCCGAAAGCUAUUUAGGUAGCGCCUCGUGAAUUCAUCUCCGGGGGUAGAGCACUGUUUCGGCUAGGGGGCCAUCCCGGCUUACCAACCCGAUGCAAACUGCGAAUACCGGAGAAUGUUAUCACGGGAGACACACGGCGGGUGCUAACGUCCGUCGUGAAGAGGGAAACAACCCAGACCGCCAGCUAAGGUCCCAAAGUCAUGGUUAAGUGGGAAACGAUGUGGGAAGGCCCAGACAGCCAGGAUGUUGGCUUAGAAGCAGCCAUCAUUUAAAGAAAGCGUAAUAGCUCACUGGUCGAGUCGGCCUGCGCGGAAGAUGUAACGGGGCUAAACCAUGCACCGAAGCUGCGGCAGCGAACGUAUCACCCAAGACAACUUUACGGAGUUGACGAUUGACGGAGCGAAGCGACGUCAAAGCGUUCAUUAAAGUCGAGUUGGCUUAGGGAUACGUUCGUUGGGUAGGGGAGCGUUCUGUAAGCCUGUGAAGGUGUGUCGUGAGGCAUGCUGGAGGUAUCAGAAGUGCGAAUGCUGACAUAAGUAACGAUAAAGCGGGUGAAAAGCCCGCUCGCCGGAAGACCAAGGGUUCCUGUCCAACGUUAAUCGGGGCAGGGUGAGUCGACCCCUAAGGCGAGGCCGAAAGGCGUAGUCGAUGGGAAACGGGUUAAUAUUCCCGUACUUGGUGUUACUGCGAAGGGGGGACGGAGAAGGCUAUGUUGGCCGGGCGACGGUUGUCCCGGUUUAAGCGUGUAGGUGUGUGUUCCAGGUAAAUCCGGUUCACUUUAACACUGAGGCGUGACGACGAGGCACUACGGUGCUGAAGCAACAAAUGCCCUGCUUCCAGGAAAA